GUCAAAGUGAAGUUGAAUUGUAGACUCGUUUUCUCAAAAGAAAAAUAAAUUAAAUUAAAUUAAUAACAAAAAAAGUUACUCCGUUCAACGUCUGUUAUACCAAAAUAAGCUGUGUGUUGUAAUCUGCCGAAUUUCUCAAACAAGCCGUACUUCUUGGCUCCAGUGGCAGCCACAAAUUCGUUUCCAAUUCCAAAUCGAUUGUGGCGAAACUGACAUACGCCUCACCGAUUAGACGUUCUUUUCGUAAACGUUCGCAACCGUAUAUUCGUACACGCAGUCCCAUAUUAUUAACAUCCUCCGGAUUGACUCGAUGUAACAGGAAACUCUCCAUGUAUUGUGGAUUCUCGCCGGAGCGAAUUUUAGUCUUAUGCUUUUGCUUCUUAUUUGGCAACAUAAGAAGACGGACCUGAAAACAUGAUUUUGUUUAAAAAACUAACGACCGUGACGCGCAUGAAAGCACCAUUUGCGAUGUACGUAAAGAAAGAAUAGAAACAUCAAAGCGACGACGCCAAAAAGCGCACCCAAUACUGUCGUUAACUCAACGGUUCCUUAACGGUUCGAUAGAAGAAGGGAAUUUAAGAAACACCAUAAAUAACUGUGUACAAAUGAAACUGGCAUAUUUAAUUAAACAACAACAAUAAAAAAUAAAAUUAAUGCGUUUAAA
Zeugodacus cucurbitae (melon fly) is the source of this 664-nucleotide long non-coding RNA. RefSeq lists it as uncharacterized. The record is from RefSeq and is a predicted model, not a curated record. The transcript is spliced from 3 exons. NCBI's taxonomy places the organism in Eukaryota, Metazoa, Arthropoda, Insecta, Diptera, Tephritidae.